Molecule: ribosomal RNA, 241 nt
Filed under: uncultured bacterium
Lineage: Bacteria
Description: partial 16S ribosomal RNA
Rfam family: Bacterial small subunit ribosomal RNA
Source: RNAcentral
UAGUGGCGCACGGGUGCGUAACACGUAACUAACCUACCCAGCACUGGGGGAUAGCCCGCCGAAAGGCGGAUUAAUACCGCAUAAGACUAUAGAGCGGCAUCGCUUCGUAGUUAAAGAUUUAUUGGUGUUGGAUGGGGUUGCGGGUCAUUAGCUAGUUGGUUGGGUAACGGCUGACCAAGGCGACGAUGACUAGGGGAGCUGAGAGGCUGGUCCCCCACACGGGCACUGAGAUACGGGCCCG